UUGGACAAGGAUUGGCGGGAGGCGGGUUGAGCACUCGGUCCUGGGUUUGGAUAAAGCAUAGGUUCACAUUGGAAUAAUUUAGGUGCUGUAAAAAGAGGGAGCAAGAACGGCCUGGAGCUUUCCCUUCCUGAAGAGCAAAGUGUGUCCAACUUGUGGGUUGCCUCCCUAUCUUAAGUGACACAACUUCUUUCAUUUUAAACAUUUUUCACUAAAACGAAACCAAAAGAGGCCAAAGUAAGAAAGAAGAAAAUAUCUACAAAAUAACAAACUAGGCAGGCCACAGAUUGAACACAGCCUGGGACAAAAUAUAUCCUGAAACAUAGAACAUGGAAGGCAGCCAUGUUGGACAGCUCCAGAGAAGAAACAGCAUAGCAGAAGGGGAAAAACUGCUCACCUCAUGACAACCAAGAGCAGAGAUGGAAAAAGAGGAGCUGGGAAAGGAGAUGUACCAUUCCAGAUUAUGUGGAGACUGUAGAUCUCUAUGCAAGGAAGCAGGCUUCUCCUUGGACCCAUGAGUGAAGAUUAUUCAUUCCAGCAUCUGGAAAUCACAUGAUUGUUCAUUGAUUGCUACUGUGACUCUGGCACCACGCUACCCCAAGCCAUUGGGCCUGCAGAACCAAUAGCCCUCCUCUGCCUGCUCAGAACUCCACAGUUCCAGACAAGCUGGGCCUCAGGGACACUGUGCGCCCACCUGCCCCUUGGAAGCUCCACAGCUCUUCAAUCGCAGCCGGGUUAGGGUACUCACCACAGGCCAUGGUGCCUCAGGAACCUGCGAUCCCUCCCUGCUUGCAGAGAUAUUCACAGUCCUCCAGACACAGGAAGGGGCCGAUGCAGGCACCCCAGAUCUGCCCAGCUCCUCCUCUGCACACUGAUGGCUAGGCGUGGCAGCACAACAGGCUGGGCUCAGGGGAUAGUGUGGGCCCGCCCAGCUGUCGGAAGCUCAGCAGAUCUCCAAGUGCAGCCGGGAUGGGGAGGCGGAUCUCAUUUAGUGGUUUCAAUGUCAUGUGGCCUGGUUAGGAAAGAACCUGGGAGAUCUUCAAGCCACAGAAUAAAGGAAAUUUAAAUAUAAAAAA
Long non-coding RNA from Cavia porcellus (domestic guinea pig), 1073 nucleotides. RefSeq lists it as uncharacterized. The record is from RefSeq and is a predicted model, not a curated record. The transcript is spliced from 5 exons. NCBI's taxonomy places the organism in Eukaryota, Metazoa, Chordata, Mammalia, Rodentia, Caviidae.